Small nucleolar RNA from Ipomoea nil (Japanese morning glory), 73 nucleotides. The record is from Rfam. NCBI's taxonomy places the organism in Eukaryota, Viridiplantae, Streptophyta, Magnoliopsida, Solanales, Convolvulaceae.
CAUUCGCCUAUGAUGGUUAUUAAAUAUACUUUGAGUAUUGCACUCUGAAAACAACCUAAAUCUGAGGCUACAA